AGCGAACGCUGGCGGCAUGCUUAACACAUGCAAGUCGCACGGUAUGGGGGCAACUCCAUGCAGUGGCGGACGGGUGAGUAACGCGUAGGAAUCUAUCCUUGGAUGGGGGACAACCGUGGGAAACUACGGCUAAUACCGCAUAAUGCCUGAGGGCCAAAGCGUAAGUCGUCUGGGGAGGAGCCUGCGUCUGAUUUAGGUAGUUGGUGGGGUAAAGGCCUACCAAGCCUGCGAUCAGUAGCUGGUCUGAGAGGAUGAUCAGCCACAUUGGGACUGAGACACGGCCCAAAUCCUACGGGAGGCAGCAGUGGGAAUAUUGGGACAAUGGGGGCAACCCUGAUCCAGC
This 343-nucleotide ribosomal RNA is filed under the name uncultured bacterium. RNAcentral's name for it is "bacterial SSU rRNA". It matches the Rfam family "Bacterial small subunit ribosomal RNA", at positions 29 to 392 of the family's 1533-position model. The record is from RNAcentral.